CGUGAUAGGCACAGCCACCAGGGCGUGCAGAGCGGACAGCGACACGGGCUGUGUUCAGCACCACGGACAGCGACACGGGCUGUGUUCAGCACCACGGACAGCGACACGACUGCGUUCAGCACCACGGGCAGAGAGUCUCUCGCACGGCCCUCGAAGCCUCGCGUCUCGCCGGCUACGUCAUCGCUCCUGUCCGAGUCGCCGUGACACGAAGGCGUCGGCGUCGUUCCCCCCCCCCCCACAUGGCCUUUGUUAGCCGCGGGAAAGACCUUGAAUUGAGUUGGACAUUAGUGGCAUUUUAUAUACGCGGGGUUAUGGACCAAUAAACGGAGAGCGGAGUAUCCGAGGGAGGAGGAGUGAAUCUGCGUACGUAAUAACCACUGCCAUCAUCAUCCUAUCCAAGGACGUACAAAAAAAUUAGAAUAUUGAGAGGAUAAGCACAAUUUUGGUCAUUAGCGCCGUCAUUCUCUAUCUGGGCAAUAUUGAUUCACGUUAUAGUCGUGGGGGUUUUUUUCUCUCUCUUUUUUUUUCUCUCUCACACACACACACACACAAUGUCCUUCACUUGACCACUGGGACGCUCAUCCCCAGGAGGAACAUUCGGGGGCUUGGUAAUUACACACGCAGUCUAUCUACUACUACUACACAGCACGCACGCACACGCGCACACACGCACACACACGCUGAGGUUUAUCCAUCUGUACUGCGGCAGCCACCACCACGCGCUGCUAUUGGGAUAUAUACGGGGGGGGGGGGUGGGUGCCAGCAGCUACGCGUGAAUGGCCGUGAUUAUUGUGUCUGUGUACUCCAUUCUUCAUCGCGACAGCAAAAAUAGUGAUGGGAUGAAUAUGAUCUGAGCCACUUAACGGAAUGGGGGUUGUGCCACGCGUGGAGGGCUUCGGCGCAGCGGGGCGCGUCAUGGAGCCGUCGCGCGUGCAGAAGCUGAUUGCGAUUCCUGAACACCGCCACCAGCACAAGUGACGAUCAUCUGCACCGGCCCUAGGCCUCCCCUGGUGCAGUGUGUAAACAUCGCCACGAGGAAGACAAAGGCGGUCGGGAGUGGUUCUGGCCUCUCACCCCCCCCCCCCAUCUCGCGUGCCUUUGUAGCUUGGUGCUGCUGCUGUGUGAAUCGUCGUGCCAGGUGGCGACGGUUCCGGGAGGGCUUUCAUCCAGCAGUGGAUUUGACCAUGGCCGAUGCUGCCUAUGAUGAUGAAGAUGAUGCUGAGAAUGGAACGUUUAUUGGGAGUUUCAAUGAACUGUAACUCACAACUCGCAAUCGUGAUAGUAAUGCCAGUGUCCUUUAAUCGGAAUGCCCGUUACCAGCCAAUGUUCACGACCCUCACGCUCUCUGUGAGCCGCGUCUUUUGUCCAAGACAUUGAGCUAUGUCCAUGAUAUCUACUCAAGAACUGUUGCAUUCGAUACUGACUCACAGUUGUAUCCAACCAGUGGCGUCGUCGUCGCUACGUCAUCAGCUCAGGUGGUGUGGCAAUCGGUCAGGUGCCGCCCCCCCCACCCCCCAAUAUUUGAUUCCUCUCGCACGGUGGCACUUAUAGGCUUAUUAUUAUUAUUUUACAUUGCGUCUCUUCUUGCCUAAUCGCAUCGCUAUACACGAUUGUUGUUAUUUUACACUGCUGGUGAAUACAUCAUCGCGUCGUGGUUGUCAAGGGGGGCGCCAGCUCAUAGCUUUGGCCACCAGGGAGAAGGGGGUGGGGGGGGGGGCAAGGCACCCCCUGCCUGCCCCCCACGCUCGUUACGCCACCACUGCAUCCCACCGUUCAAAUCGCUUCUGGGAAAACUUAAGCCGCUGCCUUCCGCAGGACACCUCCUAGAAUGUCCCCGGUCACAGCCACACUCACGGCAGAGCCUCUUUGUUUUCUCAUUACAAGUCCACGAAAUAUAAUCCUACCCUCCUCCCCCAGUGAUUCUUAUUUAUGUUACCGUACUUACACCCCCCCACCACCACCCCCGCUAUAUCCGUAAUGCCUCUCUGUUUCUCAGCCAGCGUCUGUCUACGAACCUCUUCAACAAUAACACUGCCCUCCUAACAAGG
This is a long non-coding RNA of Petromyzon marinus (sea lamprey), 2048 nucleotides long. RefSeq lists it as uncharacterized. The record is from RefSeq and is a predicted model, not a curated record. Lineage: Eukaryota; Metazoa; Chordata; Hyperoartia; Petromyzontiformes; Petromyzontidae.